CCUCCGAUAGCUCAGCUAGUAGAGCGGAGGACUGUAGAUCCUUAGGUCGCUGGUUCGAAUCUGGCUCGGAGGA
Molecule: transfer RNA, 73 nt
Filed under: Pongo abelii (Sumatran orangutan)
Lineage: Eukaryota; Metazoa; Chordata; Mammalia; Primates; Hominidae
Description: tRNA-Tyr (GTA) (tRNA-Tyr-GTA-3-1)
Rfam family: tRNA
About the family: Transfer RNA (tRNA) molecules are approximately 80 nucleotides in length.
Source: RNAcentral